This 3086-nucleotide ribosomal RNA is filed under the name Pyrobaculum calidifontis. Its description in RNAcentral is "23S ribosomal RNA". It matches the Rfam family "Archaeal large subunit ribosomal RNA". The record is from RNAcentral. Lineage: Archaea; Thermoproteati; Thermoproteota; Thermoprotei; Thermoproteales; Thermoproteaceae.
GGCAAAGCCGCCCGGUGGAUGGCUCGGCUCGGGCGCCGAAGAAGGGCGUGGCAAGCUGCGAUAAGCCCGGGGUAGCCGCAGGCAGGCUUAGAACCCGGGAUCCCCGAAUGGGGCUUCCUGCCGGGGCCGAAUAGGCCCCGGCGCCCCGUAAGGGGCGGGAACGCGGGGAAAGGAAACAUCUUAGUACCCGCAGGAAGGGAAGCCAACAGGGACCCCCUGAGUAGGGGCGACCGAAAGGGGGAUAGCCCAAACCAAAUCCUCGCGGGACAACCGUGGGGAGAUGUGGGGCUUGGGCCCGGGCAACCGCCGGCGGGCGGUAGCCGAAGUGGGCUGGAAUGCCCCGCCGUAGAGGGUGAUAGCCCCGUAGGCGAAACCGCCCGUGGCGGAGUCCCGGGGUCCCGGAGUACCUCGGCUUAGUUUUGCCGGGGGAACGCGCCGGCCACUGGCCGGCAAGGCUAAGCACGUCCCGAGUCCGAUAGCGCACUAGUACCGUGAGGGAAAGCUGAAAAGAACCCCGGAAGGGGGGUGAAAAGAGCCUGAAACCGGGCGGCUACAGUGGGGCAGGCCCGAAAGGAUGCCCCCUCCCGAAGGAAACCCCGGUGACGGGGGAGUACGAGGGAGGGGGUCCAGGGUCUGCCCUUACGUCUAGAAACACGGGCCGGGGAGUUCACGGCCGUGGCGAGCCUAAGGGGUUCAACCCCGGAGGCGUAGGGAAACCGACAGCCCGCAGCGGGGCAACCCGCGAGGGGCGGGGUCUUAAAGGGCCCGUAGUCACGGCCGUGAGACCAGAAACCGGGCGAUCUAGCCCUGGGCAGGGUGAAGCGGGGCGAAAGCCCCGUGGAGGCCCGAAGGGGUUCUGAUGUGCAAAUCGUUCCCAUGACCUGGGGCUAGGGGCAAAAGACCAAUCAAGCCCGGUGAUAGCUGGUUCCCCCCGAAGCGGGUCUCAGCCCGGCCUCCCCGGAGGCGGCCGGCGGGGUAGAGUACUGAUCGGGGGUGCGGGAGCCGAAAGGCUCCGGCCCCCGGUCAAACUCCGAACCUGCCAGCGCCGUAGAAGGGGGGAGGCGGGGGCGGUGGGGUAAGCCUCCGCUCCGAGACGGGAACAACCGAGACCGGGGUUAAGGCCCCCAAGUGCGGGCUUAGUGUCAAUCUAAAAGGGCGUCCCCCGCCCAAGACAGCGGGGCCGUGGGCCUAACAGCAGCCAUCGGCUAAGCAACGCGUAACAGCGGACCCGCCGAGGCGGGGGGCCCCGAAGAUGUACAGGGACUAAGCCCGCCGCCGAGACCCCGGCCCGCGGGCCGUUGGCCCGCGUGGGGUAGGGGGGCGCGGCCGUGGGGCAGAAGCCGGGCCGUGAGGUCCGGUGGACCCGCGGCCGACGAAGAUCCCGGCGGUAGUAGCAGCGAAGAGGGGUGAGAAGCCCCUCCGCCGGAAAGGACCAGGGUUUCCUGGCAACUUCAAUAGGCCAGGAGUUAGCCGGUCCUAAGGCGGGGCCUAAUAGGCACCCGCCGAAAGGGAAACGGGUUAAUAUUCCCGUGCCGCGGGGGUAGGUUCUGCGGCAACGCAGGCCCCGUCCCCGACGCCUCGGGAUAGGGCGGGCGGGACUGCCGUCCCGCUUAACCGUCGAAGGCCGGGGAGUGCCGUAAUGGCGAGAACCGGCCGAAGGCGGGAAUAGCCGGGGGUUUCCCCGGUCCGCCCGACUCCUGGGGCCCGUGAAAAGGGGACGGGGAACGAGCCCCCGCGCCCGUACCGAGAACCGACGCAGGUGCUCCUGGGUGAGAAGCCCAAGGCGGCUCGGGUGACCCCGGGCCAGGGAACUCGGCAAAUUGGCCCCGUAACUUCGGGAGAGGGCGCGGCGGAGGAUUUAACUUAACUCCGCCGCGCCCCCCGAGAAGGGGUGCCUGCGGUCUUGGGGUAUACCCCCGGGACCGCAGGUCGCAGUGGCAAGGGGGACCUGACUGUUUAACAAAAACAUAGGUCCCCGCGAGCCCGUAAGGGUGUGUACGGGGGCUGAAUCCUGGCCACUGGCGGUACGUGAACCCCGGGUACAACCGGGCGAAGCGCCGCUGAAGGCCGGGGGUAACUCUGACCCUCUUAAGGUAGCCAAAUGCCUUGCCGGGUAAGGGCUGGUGGCGGGGCCCCCCGAUAGUUCCGGCGUGCAUGAAUGGAUCAACGAGGUCCCCACUGUCCCGGCCCGGGGCCCGGCGAACCCACCUCCAGGUGCACAGUCCUGGGACCCCCGACGGGGCGAGAAGUCCCUAUGGAGCUUCACAGCAGCCUGUCGUUGCGGGGGGGCGGGGGGUGCAGAGCGUAGGUGGGAGCGAUGAAACGGGGUCUCCGGGCCCCGUGGAUGCGACCCUGGAACACCACCCACUCUCCGCCCCUCCGCUUACCCGCCGCAAGGCGGGGACAGCGGCAGGCGGGCUGUUCGGCUGGGGCGGCACACCCCUGAAAAGAUAUCGGGGGUGCCCAAAGCUCGGCUCAGGCGGGUCAGAAAUCCGCCGUAGAGUGUAAGGGCAAAAGCCGGGCUGACUGGGCCCUUGAACGCAAGGGGCCCAGGCGGGAAACCGGGGCCUAGAGAACGCUCGUGCCCCCACCAGUGGGGGCCGGGCAUGACAGAAAAGUUACCCUAGGAAUAACCGGCUCGUCGCGGGUGAGAGUCCCCAUCGACCCCGCGGUUUGGUACCCAGACGUCGUCUCUUCCCAUCCUGGCGGUGCAGCAGCCGCCAAGGGUGGGGCUGCCCGCCCAUUAAAGGGGAACGUGAGAUGGGUUCAGACCGUCGCGAGACAGGUCGGUCUCUACCUGUCGGGGGCGCUGGCCGCCUGAGGGGAAGGUGCCCUCAGUACGAGAGGAACGGGGCGCCGCGGCCUCUAGUGUACCGGUUGUCCGGCAGGGCACUGCCGGGCAGCCACGCCGUGGGGGAUAACCGCUGAAAGCAUCUAAGCGGGAAGCCCUCCCCGAGACGAGGCGGCCGUUGCCCUGGGGGCAACCCCGGGGCACGAGGGCUCCCGUAGAAGACGGGGUUGAUGGGGGGGCGGUGUAACCCCCGAGGGUUUCCCGAGGGGAGAGCCGGCCCCUCCCAAUCGCCCGA